GGGAGGCGGCUUUCCUCUGGAUUUCCGCGGCGGUGCAAGUCCCAUUGAACGGGGCGCUUUGCCCGGAGAGGGUGCCAGGCCCUUACCGCCGCCGUGGUUUCUCGGAGCGCCGUUCUCCCGGGAGUCGGGUUGCUUGGGAGUGCAGCCCAAAGCGGGUGGUAAACUCCAUCUAAGGCUAAAUAUGACCGAGAGACCGAUAGCGAACAAGUACCGUGAGGGAAAGUUGAAAAGCACUUUGAAGAGAGAGUUCAAGAGUACGUGAAACCGUUCGGAGGGAAACGGGUGGGGCCUCGAAGUCCGACGGCGGUGGCGGAUUCAGGCGGUUACGCGAGCGACGCGUUGCCUUUGGAGGGUCGAGGCCUAGACGGGUCGCCCCUCCGGAGUGCCAGCGCUACGUACCGCCGCACUUUCGCAACCCGCUAAACUGGGCGUCGCGACCGGUUGGAGAGCUGCCGGAUGGGUGGGAAGCAAGGUGCCCGCCUUUCCUUCGGGAUUCGCGGUGUUAUAGGCUCCCAAUACCCUGGCGGGCUCCCCGACCGAGGACUGUUCAUGCUCCCUCCCGGACGGGAGCGGCGGCGUGCGCUCUGUCAUCCACAUCAGGCGCGCCACCCGAGCGGGUGAGCGUCGGGUGGGGGGGAUAUUGCGUGCGUGCUGCCGCUGCGGAGCCGAUGGUCGGCGGCGAGUAGAUCGGUGACCCACCCGACCCGUCUUGAAACACGGACCAAGGAGUCCAAUGCGUGCGCGAGUUCCCGGGACUCGACUAAGCCCGAGGGCGAAAUGAAAGUGAAGGGCGGUUCGGCCGUCCGAGUUGGGAUCCCGUUACCUCGGUAGCGGGCGCACCAACGGCCCGUCUAUGCCUACUUAGGCUGGGCGGAGCGAGAGCGCAUGCCUUGGGACCCGAAAGAUGGUGAACUAUGCCUGGGCAGGAUGAAGCCGGAGGAAACUCCGGUGGAGGUCCGCCGCGGUUCUGACGUGCAAAUCGAUCGUCAGAUCUGGGU
RNAcentral lists this ribosomal RNA (998 nucleotides) under Afrogarypus castigatus. RNAcentral's name for it is "eukaryotic LSU rRNA". It matches the Rfam family "Eukaryotic large subunit ribosomal RNA", at positions 151 to 916 of the family's 3401-position model. Lineage: Eukaryota; Metazoa; Arthropoda; Arachnida; Pseudoscorpiones; Geogarypidae. The record is from RNAcentral.